Non-coding RNA from Gelatoporia subvermispora B, 104 nucleotides. Lineage: Eukaryota; Fungi; Basidiomycota; Agaricomycetes; Polyporales; Gelatoporiaceae. The record is from the annotation of a GenBank genome assembly.
GGACCCUUGGCGCAGCGGUAGCGCGUGAGAUUCCAGUGCGUCGUGCUUACGUAAGCAAUCACUGAGCAUCCUCAAGGUCAUCCGUUCAAAUCGGGUAGGGUUCA